UAACACCUGAAAACUAUCAGAAAAUUGUUAUUUUUGUGUUCUUAAUACGUUUUAACACCUGAAAACUAUCAGAAAAUUGCUAAUAUUUGUGUUCUUCAUUCGCUUUUUUUCUUCAGUGCAAAACCAUGUAAAUAUUUUAGACAAGGACAAGGGGUUUGUCCGUUUGGUGGUGCUUGUUUCUACCUACAUACAUAUCCAGAUGGAAGGAAAGUAGAACUUCCACCACCUAGGCCUCGUCGUAGGCAGAAUCAAGAUGGUGAACUGGAAACAGUUGAUAGAAUAUUUUUGUGGGAUUUCUUUGAUUUCCACGAUGAUCAGAUACUGUUUCACCUGGGCAUUGAAGACGUGUUAGACUUGUUUACUGAUACUGAUUCAGAAAAUAGUGAUGUAGAUUUAUAGGAAACUUUCUUGCUUCUCCAUAUUUUUUGAGUAAAUUUUUCGAUACCAUUGGCAUUGUCAGUUUGGAGUGUAAAUGUACGUUAUUUUAAAGAUUACAAAUCACUCAAAUGCUUAAAACCUGUUUGAUAGCACAGAAUGGUCAUCUUGCUUUAUCCAAUAGCAAGACAGUAUUGUAUGCUUAGAAUACAAUUUGAAGUAGAGAUUGAGGUCAUAAUAUUCUAGUGUUAUUUUCCUUGAUAUGCUCAUUAUUACAAUAAAACUUAAUAAAUGUAUUUAAGAUUCUUUUCAAAAUCUAUCUUAAUGAACUACUUUCAGUAAUUUCAUCAAAUUAAAUUCUUCAUGUUACAGUUUCUGGAAUUUUUUGUUUUGUUUUCUUGUGUGAUUUUAGGGCUUAAGACAAGCCACUCAAAAUGUUGUUUUCUUUAGUAUUCUGUUACCUUUUAUAUGUGAGUCAACUGGUCUUUGUUCAAGUCUUGAUACAACUUCUUAUAAUAGAGAAUUGAAUUCACCUUAUGAGGGUGUAUUUACAUAGGAAAAUUUAUUUCUGAGAAUUUUAUUUCUUUUUAAUAUUCAGCAUAGUUUUGAAGCAGUUUGAAAUUAAGUCCAAUCUGUUUCCUGUAUGCUAAAAAAUGUUACUUUAAUCUCUAGCUAUGUGGUGAUUCAAUAGUAACUUGAUGUGAAUUUCAACGUUUUAAUCAUUCUUCCAACCAUUUAUAAUUCAUUUAAUACUUUAUAGGUUCUUCCAAUCCUUUAUCAUCAAUUAAUUCUUUAUAGGUUCUUCCAACCCUUUAUCUUCAUUUAAUACUUUAUAGGUUCUUCCAAUCCUUUAUCUUCAUUUAAUCUUUUGUAAUAGUUCUUCCAACCCUUUAUUGUCAUUUAAUCAUUUGUAAUAGUUCUUCCAAUCCUUUAUCUUCAUUUAAUACUUUAUAGGUUCUUCCAAUCCUUUAUCAUCAAUUAAUUCUUUAUAGGUUCUUCCAACCCUUUAUCUUCAUUUAAUACUUUAUAGGUUCUUCCAAUCCUUUAUCUUCAUUUAAUACUUUAUAGGUUCUUCCAAUCCUUUAUCUUCAUUUAAUCUUAUGUAGCAGUUCUUCCAACCCUUUAUCUUCAUUUAAUCUUAUGUAGCAGUUCUUCCAACCCUUUAUCUUUAUUUAAUCUUAUGUAGCAGUUCUUCCAACCCUUUAUCUUCAUUUAAUCGUUUGUGAGAACAGUUGUUUAGAAAUAAGUGAUUUUAUGUAAACCUGAGAAUCAAAUAACAUAUUUUUUUACACUGAUUAUUUUACGUUUUCACUAGCUAGUAAACUUUUGUGAUGUAAAAUUUAUCAAUUCUUAGCCUGUAGAAUUAACCAUUUAAUUCUGAAGAUUUAAUUAACCAUUUAAUUAAGAAGUUAAUUCUGAAUUUUUACAACAGCUUAAUAAAAUAUUCAUCUAAUGGUUUUUUUUUGUUUCAUGUUUAGGAAAUGUUAAUCAAGGAACCAAAUUUCAUUAACUUUUAUUGUGUUUAAAUUCUCUUUCAUAACGUAAUGUUUGUCAUUGUUUGAACUUAUGGAAAAGUUAUCAGUUUCCUUUGACAAACUGAUAAAAGCAUAGAAUUUAAAAGUGGCUCAUUAGGUGAAACUGUGCACAGUCAAAACUUCAGUAAAUUUUUUUUCGAAGAUAAGAACUUUUUCCACUUAAUAUCAUAAUAAGUUAGAAACAAGAUAUCAAUGAAGUGUGCAUGUUUAUACUAUUAUAUGCAUUUCUGUGUCAGGAAUUGAAAAGUAAGAAAUAUAAAAUUCAUUCCUUUCUUCACCUAACUUGUUAUAAACCCAAAUGAUAACAACUUUGUUUCAUAUAUGUUUCUGAAAUUGUAGAGCCACAAACUGCAAAAUUUAGUGUGUGUUAUGGCUUUAAAUUUAACUGUUUUCUUCUACAUGAAAUGAUGCUUUGUUGCUGCAUUAAAACUAAAGCCAUAGUUGUAUUCUCCUAGGUGCUUGGGUGUUAAACAGGCUUAUUAAACUGGUGUUUUGUAAAAGUUUA
RNAcentral lists this long non-coding RNA (2415 nucleotides) under Limulus polyphemus (Atlantic horseshoe crab). Its description in RNAcentral is "uncharacterized LOC111083930, transcript variant X1". Lineage: Eukaryota; Metazoa; Arthropoda; Merostomata; Xiphosura; Limulidae. The record is from RNAcentral.